CUACGGGGGGCUGCAGUCGAGAAUCUUCCGCAAUGGGCGAAAGCCUGACGGAGCAAUGCCGCGUGCAGGAUGAAGGCCUUCGGGUCGUAAACUGCUGUCACCGGGGAUGAAUAAUGACAGUACCCGGGGAGGAAGUCACGGCUAACUACGUGCCAGCAGCCGCGGUAAUACGUAGGUGACAAGCGUUGUUCGGAUUUAUUGGGCGUAAAGGGUUCGUAGGAUGUUGAUUAAGAUUGGUGUGAAAUCCCAAGGCUCAACCUUGGAACUGCAUUGAUUACUGAUGAACUAGAGUGUCGUAGAGGAAAGCGGAAUUCCAGGUGUAGCGGGGGAAUGCGUAGAUAUCUGGAAGAACACCGACAGCGAAGGCAGCUUUCUGGGCGAUAACUGACUCUGAGGAACGAAAGCAUGGGGAGCAAACAGGAUUAGAUACCCGCGUAGUC
Molecule: ribosomal RNA, 440 nt
Filed under: uncultured bacterium
Lineage: Bacteria
Description: partial 16S ribosomal RNA
Rfam family: Bacterial small subunit ribosomal RNA
Source: RNAcentral